RNAcentral lists this ribosomal RNA (468 nucleotides) under uncultured bacterium. Its description in RNAcentral is "partial 16S ribosomal RNA". It matches the Rfam family "Bacterial small subunit ribosomal RNA", at positions 28 to 507 of the family's 1533-position model. The record is from RNAcentral.
GACGAACGCUGGCGGCGUGCUUAACACAUGCAAGUCGAACGGAAAGGCCCUGCUUUUGUGGGGUGCUCGAGUGGCGAACGGGUGAGUAACACGUGAGUAACCUGCCCUUGACUUUGGGAUAACUUCAGGAAACUGGGGCUAAUACCGGAUAGGAGCUCCUGCUGCAUGGUGGGGGUUGGAAAGUUUCGGCGGUUGGGGAUGGACUCGCGGCUUAUCAGCUUGUUGGUGGGGUAGUGGCUUACCAAGGCUUUGACGGGUAGCCGGCCUGAGAGGGUGACCGGCCACAUUGGGACUGAGAUACGGCCCAGACUCCUACGGGAGGCAGCAGUGGGGAAUAUUGCCCAAUGGGCGGAGGCCUGAUGCAGCAACGCCGCGUGCGGGAUGACGGCCUUCGGGUUGUAAACCGCUUUCGCCUGUGACGAAGCGUGAGUGACGGUAAUGGGUAGAGAAGCACCGGCUAACUACGUG